GACGAACGCUGGCGGCGUGCCUAAUACAUGCAAGUAGAACGCUGAAGGAGGAGCUUGCUUCUCUGGAUGAGUUGCGAACGGGUGAGUAACGCGUAGGUAACCUGCCUGGUAGCGGGGGAUAACUAUUGGAAACGAUAGCUAAUACCGCAUAAUAGUAGAUGUUGCAUGACAUUUGCUUAAAAGGUGCAAUUGCAUCACUACCAGAUGGACCUGCGUUGUAUUAGCUAGUUGGUGGGGUAACGGCUCACCAAGGCGACGAUACAUAGCCGACCUGGGAGGGGGGUCGGCCACACUGGGACUGAGGAACGGCCCAGACUCCUACGGGAGGCAGCAGUAGGGAAUCUUCGGCAAUGGACGGAAGUCUGACCGGGCAACGCCGCGUGAGUGAAGAAGGUUUUCGGAUCGUAAAGCUCUGUUGUAAGGGAAGAACGAGUGUGAGAGUGGAAAGUUCACACUGUGACGGUAUCUUACCAGAAAGGGACGGCUAACUACGUG
This 495-nucleotide ribosomal RNA is filed under the name uncultured bacterium. RNAcentral describes it as "partial 16S ribosomal RNA". It matches the Rfam family "Bacterial small subunit ribosomal RNA", at positions 28 to 507 of the family's 1533-position model. The record is from RNAcentral.